GGACUACACGGGUAUCUAAUCCCAUUCGCGACCCACGCUUUCGUGCUUCAGCGUCAGGAGUGGUCCAGUCUCUUGCCUUCGCUUUUGGUGUUCCCCAUGAUAUCAACGCAUUUCACCGCUACACCAUGAGUUCCAGAGACCCCUACCAUCCUCUAGCAAUGCCGUUUCUCCCGCAGACUCUGGGUUGAGCCCAGAGAUUUUACGGGAGACUAACAUCGCCGCCUACGCACCCUUUACGCCCAAUGAUUCCGGAUAACGCUCGAGGCACUCGUAUUACCGCGGCGGCUGGCAC
Molecule: ribosomal RNA, 292 nt
Filed under: uncultured bacterium
Lineage: Bacteria
Description: partial 16S ribosomal RNA
Source: RNAcentral